UAGCGUAUAUUAAAGUUGUUGCGGUUAAAAAGCUCGUAGUUGGAUUUCUGUUGAAGACAGCCGGUCCGCACUAUGUGCGUGUAUCUGGUUUGGCUUCGGCAUCCUCUCAAAAUACGUUUCUGUGCUUGAUUGCAUGGAACGGAGUUUGGGACUUUUACUUUGAGGAAAUUAGAGUGUUCACGGCAGGCAAUCGCCCUGAAUAUAUUAGCAUGGAAUAAUAAUAUAGGAUCUUGGUUCUAUUUUGUUGGUUUCUAGAGCUAAGAUAAUGAUUAAUAGGGACAAUUGGGGGCAUUCGUAUUAACGCGUC
Molecule: ribosomal RNA, 307 nt
Filed under: Amoebophrya sp.
Lineage: Eukaryota; Dinophyceae; Syndiniales; Amoebophryaceae
Description: SSU rRNA
Rfam family: Eukaryotic small subunit ribosomal RNA
Source: RNAcentral